This 385-nucleotide ribosomal RNA is filed under the name uncultured eukaryote. Its description in RNAcentral is "SSU rRNA". It matches the Rfam family "Eukaryotic small subunit ribosomal RNA", at positions 587 to 972 of the family's 1831-position model. The record is from RNAcentral.
AGCUCCAAUAGCGUAUAUUAAAGUUGUUGCAGUUAAAAAGCUCGUAGUUGGAUCUGGGGUUCGGGUCGGUGGUUUGCCGCUCUGCGGCUACUGCCGUGCUCGACUCUUACUAGCCGGUGCGUCUCUUGGUGCUCUUCACUGAGUGCCACGAGAGCCUGGCAUGUUUACUUUGAAAAAAUUAGAGUGCUCAAAGCAGGCGCUUGCGCCUGAAUAGUGUUGCAUGGAAUAAUGGAAUAGGACCUCGGUUCUAUUUUGUUGGUUUUCGGAACUUGAGGUAAUGAUUAAGAGGGACGGUCGGGGGCAUUCGUAUUUCGGUGUUAGAGGUGAAAUUCUUGGAUCGCUGAAAGACGGACAAAUGCGAAAGCAUCUGCCAAGAACGUCUCCA